GACAGAGGGUGCAAACGUUGUUCGGAUUUACUGGGCGUAAAGCGCGCGUAGGCGGCUUUGCAAUUCGGAUGUGAAAGCCCACGGCUCAACCGUGGAAGUGCAUCCGAAACUGCAUGGCUUGAGUCUCGGAGAGGAAGGUGGAAUGCUUGGUGUAGAGGUGAAAUUCGUAGAUAUCAAGCAGAACACCUGCGGCGAAGGCGGCCUUCUGGACGAUGACUGACGCUGAGACGCGAAAGCGUGGGGAGCAAACAGG
Molecule: ribosomal RNA, 253 nt
Filed under: uncultured bacterium
Lineage: Bacteria
Description: partial 16S ribosomal RNA
Rfam family: Bacterial small subunit ribosomal RNA
Source: RNAcentral